UUUAGGUUUAGAAUUUGGCACUGGCAUUUGCUAGUUCGUCGCGCAUGUUUCAAUGCAUUCUGGGAUACUCUGCUACUGUGUGUUGGCAGGUGAAUGUAAACACGGUGGAUGGAUUUCAUCAUGGAGCCAGUAAAUGUGUUCUUCAUCUUGGGGUGGAGGAGGCAAGUUAUAGGCCAGUGAUUCCUAAACAGUGUGCCGGGGUACAUUAGCCUGCCGUGAGCGCUCUUCAGGUGUGACGUGGUAAGUUAUACAAUUUUAUGUAAUUGCAAAAAAAAAAAAAAAAAAAAAAAUAUUUCCAAGAAAUAAUGUAUCUUUAUUCAUCAGUGAGGCACAAUGACAGACAGAACAAAAAAAAUCCUCUUCUAUUAGAUGGCAGGAAGUACAUACAUUAAUUAAUCUAUCCAUUUUUGGUGACAUUUACUUUUGUUGGUGUGCCGUGGGAUUUUUCAAUUGUGAAAUAUGUGCCUUGGCUCUAUAAAGGUUGGAAAUCACUGUUAUAGGCCAUGUUCAUGGUGGAAAAAUAUUUUAAAUUGUUUAAUUUAGCCUCUUGAUACAAGUUAUUGUUGUGUGACGUAAAUACAUUAAACACAUCUAUCAUGACACCUUGAAAAAAAUGUGAGAAAUUUUAAGCAAUAAAAAAAGAUUUUCAUUUUUUUUCAUUUUGAUUGUUGGACAGGUUAUAAAGCCAUGUUCGUGGUGGAUAAAGAUUUUAAAUUGUUUAAUUUAGCCUCAUAUUUUUAUACCACAAAAACCUGACAUUGAAACGGGUGGCGUAAUUAUUUUUAUUACCACUUAUUCUUUUGGCCCUGUAAUAAAGUAAUAAAACAAAUUCUGAUUAUAUCUGACUCUUAUAGGGAAUAGUUCCUAUCAACAGAAAUGUCUCUUGUUCUUUGUUGUUGUUACUUUGUUGUUAUUUGUUCUGAAUCUCAGACCAGGGAAGCACCGACUGCCGGAAAAAAAUUCCUUGUGUUUUUACAAUACAAUGGCCAAUAAAGAUGAUUUUGAUAUUCUAAUAGACUCAAGAGCUUGACUACAAAUAACAGCUUUAGUACUUCAU
Long non-coding RNA from Syngnathoides biaculeatus (alligator pipefish), 1057 nucleotides. RefSeq lists it as uncharacterized. Lineage: Eukaryota; Metazoa; Chordata; Actinopteri; Syngnathiformes; Syngnathidae. The record is from RefSeq and is a predicted model, not a curated record. The transcript has 3 exons.